Molecule: ribosomal RNA, 156 nt
Filed under: uncultured bacterium
Lineage: Bacteria
Description: partial 16S ribosomal RNA
Rfam family: Bacterial small subunit ribosomal RNA
Source: RNAcentral
AGGUCAGCAUACUACGGUGAAUACGUUCCCGGGCCUUGUACACACCGCCCGUCCAAACCAUGAGAGUUGGCAACACCCGAAGUCGGUAGUCUAACCGCAAGGAGGACGCCGCCGAAGGUGGGGUUGAUGAUUAGGGUUAAGUCGUAACAAGGUACC